GGAGGUAGUGACAAUAAAUCACAAUGCGGGACUAUUCGUCUUGCAAUUGGAUUGAGAACAAUGUACAACUCUUAUCGAUAAGCCAUUGGAGGGCAAGUCUGGUGCCAGCAGCCGCGGUAAUUCCAGCUCCAAUAGCGUAUAUUAACGUUGUUGCAGUUAAAAAGCUCGUAGUUGAAGUGUGGGUGGUGCUGUCUGAAUGACUUCGGUUAGUCAGAUGAUCACUACCCCCUUCCAGUAUCCAGUAGUGGGUAUUCAGUUACUUACUAUUGUGUGUUGGUCAUUUACUGUGAGAAAAUUAGAGUGUUCAAAGCAGGCGUUUGCUUGAAUAGAUUAGCAUGGAAUAAUAAUUGAAGGCUUUCGUGUUCGAUUUGAUUGGUUUGUUCAUGGAAGCAAGGUUAAAAGGAACAGUUGGGGGUAUUCAUAUUCACUAGUUAGAGGUGAAAUUCUCGGAUUUAUGGAAGAUGAACAAGUGCGAAAGCA
RNAcentral lists this ribosomal RNA (480 nucleotides) under Blastocystis sp. RNAcentral describes it as "SSU rRNA". It matches the Rfam family "Eukaryotic small subunit ribosomal RNA", at positions 460 to 953 of the family's 1831-position model. Lineage: Eukaryota; Bigyra; Opalinata; Blastocystidae. The record is from RNAcentral.